CUCUCUGUAUGUGUAUGUGUGUGUAUAUAUAUUUGUGUGUAUAUAUAUAUAUACACACACACAUACACAUACAGAGAGAGAGAGAGUAACAGCUAAUU
Molecule: microRNA precursor, 98 nt
Filed under: Echinops telfairi (small Madagascar hedgehog)
Lineage: Eukaryota; Metazoa; Chordata; Mammalia; Afrosoricida; Tenrecidae
Description: miRNA (ENSETEG00000023754.1)
Source: RNAcentral